Molecule: long non-coding RNA, 259 nt
Filed under: Homo sapiens (human)
Lineage: Eukaryota; Metazoa; Chordata; Mammalia; Primates; Hominidae
Description: non-protein coding lnc-PTH2R-1:8
Source: RNAcentral
CAAACAUCAAGUAAUACUCUCAAUAAAGAUGUGUAAUUAAAACAGAAGAGGAAACAGACUAACAGAAGUGAUGAAGAAUGGCAGUUCUAAGGAUGGCAGGAAUUCACUGAAUGUCUAUCUAUCAUGUAUGCUGUUGGAGGCACCUGUCUUUCAGUUCAGAGGUUAUGGAUGUAUCUAUCAUCAGUAUUUCGGGAAGUCAGGGACCCGGAACAGAGGGACUUAAUGAAGCUGUGGCAGAAGAAAAAAUUAUGAAGAUUUC